AUAUAUUCAAUUCUAUAUGGUAGUGAGAUAUACUAUGAUCUCUACCAUAGUGUCAUUGAAAUUCUUUUCAAUGGGUCAGAAUGAUUCCAUUCUAACUCAUCAAGGAUUAUCGAUCCUAAGCAAUCUUAGUGAGCUCUCACAAUCCAUCAGUGAUACCUAGCAGUAUAUAGUGACAACCCAGUAGAACCAAAAAAUAAUCUCAAAGUAUAGUUCACAUGUGAUUCAGUCUCUCUAUCAUAAGUCUCGACU
RNAcentral lists this long non-coding RNA (249 nucleotides) under Elaeis guineensis (African oil palm). RNAcentral's name for it is "long non-coding RNA (EGUI_LNC045389)". Lineage: Eukaryota; Viridiplantae; Streptophyta; Magnoliopsida; Arecales; Arecaceae. The record is from RNAcentral.